CCCAGAGCCUCCAGAACCCAAGGCCUCCUCUCAGUCCCCACCCAACCCAGACUUCUCCCCGCCCGUAGGUUGAAGCCCCUGCCCACGGUCCUCCCAUCCAUCCACCAGCUGCACCCCGCAUCCCCAAGGGGCUCCAGCUUCAUAGCGCUGAGCCACAAGCUGGGGCUGCCUCCAGGGAAGGUGAGUGCCCGUCUCCUGUGACUUGUCUCCCCAGCCCCACCCCAGGUGACCGUCCUUCCCUCCUCCUCCAGGCCUCGGAGCUGCUCCUGCCGGCGGCUGCCUCUCUUCGCCAGGACCUUCUGUUCCUGCAGGACCAGCGGAGCCUCUGGUGCUGGGAUCUACUCCACAUGAAGACCAGCCUGCCGCCAGGCCCUCCCACCCAGGAGCUGCUGCAGAUCCAGGCAUCCCAGGAAAAACAGCAGAAAGAGAACCUGGGGCAGGCUCUGAAGAGGCUGGAGAAGCUACUGAAACAGGCGCUGGAGCGAAUCCCUGAGCUGCAGGGGAUCGUGGGGGACUGGUGGGAGCA
RNAcentral lists this small RNA (526 nucleotides) under Pan troglodytes (chimpanzee). RNAcentral describes it as "retained intron". The record is from RNAcentral. Lineage: Eukaryota; Metazoa; Chordata; Mammalia; Primates; Hominidae.